RNA transcript from Helianthus annuus (common sunflower), 507 nucleotides. RefSeq lists it as uncharacterized. The record is from RefSeq and is a predicted model, not a curated record. NCBI's taxonomy places the organism in Eukaryota, Viridiplantae, Streptophyta, Magnoliopsida, Asterales, Asteraceae. The transcript has 3 exons.
GGUUAUUAGUAUGAGGAGGGUAGCCAUGGCAAAGGCACGGGGAGAUAUCUUAGGAGCCAUUGAUUGGCUCUGUAAAUAUCUUGAAAUGUGCUUUACACAAUCGGUGGACUUGAAAAUCUUCAGACGGCUAAGAAGUAUUACGCAUCAACUAUAGAGUUGACAGGUGGAAGAAACACGAGAGCACUGUACGGAAUUUGCUUGUGCACUUCUGCAAUUGCGCAACUGACUAAAGGGAAGAACAAUGAGGACAAGGAGAUCUCAAGAUUGGCAGCUGCACCAUUGGAGAAAGAUUACAAGCAGAUUUCUCCAGACAAAGUUUCUCUGCUCGGGUCGACCCUAAAAACCAUGAAACUUCAAUAACUUAGCUUAUCAUUCACUAUAUAAAACCGUUAUUAGUCGAAAAGAUUCAAUUUUUAAGUGUUACAUGUUGUAAUUCUUGAUUUAUUGAUAUUAUGUUCUUUAUUCAGUUUUGGAUUGAUGUUAAUAAUAGACAAAGCAGUGUGACUU